Molecule: ribosomal RNA, 429 nt
Filed under: Actinomycetes bacterium
Lineage: Bacteria; Bacillati; Actinomycetota; Actinomycetes
Description: Actinobacteria bacterium partial 16S ribosomal RNA
Rfam family: Bacterial small subunit ribosomal RNA
Source: RNAcentral
UAGGGAAUCUUCCGCAAUGGGCGAAAGCUUGACGGAGCAACGCCGCGUGAGUGAUGAAGGUCUUCGGAUCGUAAAACUCUGUUAUUAGGGAAGAACAAAUGUGUAAGUAACUAUGCACGUCUUGACGGUACCUAAUCAGAAAGCCACGGCUAACUACGUGCCAGCAGCCGCGGUAAUACGUAGGUGGCAAGCGUUAUCCGGAAUUAUUGGGCGUAAAGCGCGCGUAGGCGGUUUUUUAAGUCUGAUGUGAAAGCCCACGGCUCAACCGUGGAGGGUCAUUGGAAACUGGAAAACUUGAGUGCAGAAGAGGAAAGUGGAAUUCCAUGUGUAGCGGUGAAAUGCGCAGAGAUAUGGAAGAACACCAGUGGCGAAGGCGACUUUCUGGUCUGUAACUGACGCUGAUGUGCGAAAGCGUGGGGAUCAAACAGG